UGGGGAAUUUUGGACAAUGGGCGAAAGCCUGAUCCAGCCAUGCCGCGUGAGUGAAGAAGGCCUUCGGGUUGUAAAGCUCUUUCGGACAGAAAGAAAUCGCACGAACUAAUACUUUGUGCGGAUGACGGUACUGUAAGAAGAAGCACCGGCUAACUCCGUGCCAGCAGCCGCGGUAAUACGGAGGGUGCAAGCGUUACUCGGAAUUACUAGGCGUAAAGGGCAGGUAGGCGGUCUCGUUAGUCUGUUGUGAAAGCUCCUUGCUUAACGGGGAGAGGCCAACAGAUACUGCGAGGCUUGAGUAUAGGAGAGGGUACUGGAAUUCCCGGUGUAGCGGUGAAAUGCGCAGAGAUCGGGAGGAACACCAAUGGCGAAAGCAGGUACCUGGACUAUUACUGACGCUCAGCUGCGAAAGCUAGGGGAGCAAA
RNAcentral lists this ribosomal RNA (425 nucleotides) under uncultured bacterium. RNAcentral's name for it is "bacterial SSU rRNA". It matches the Rfam family "Bacterial small subunit ribosomal RNA", at positions 355 to 772 of the family's 1533-position model. The record is from RNAcentral.